This is a non-coding RNA of Paramuricea clavata, 341 nucleotides long. Lineage: Eukaryota; Metazoa; Cnidaria; Anthozoa; Malacalcyonacea; Plexauridae. The record is from the annotation of a GenBank genome assembly.
CUAAAUUUGAGGGUAUUGUGCAGCAAAAUAUACGUGCUGCAAAGCAUAGUUUCUUAAUUCCUUGAUUCAUUCCCUGAUGCCAACUCCCUUAGUUAUCUCACUUAUCUUAUCAGUGAGGUAUGGGCUCUUUGCGCGAUUUUGCUCUCCUGCAAGGUAAUUCCUGUGCCGAUGUAAACGUUCCGCUUCUCAUUUAUUUCGAUCCGGAUGGGACGUUUGACUACAAUGACUUGAUCCACAGCAUUGUUUCUUUAUUCUAUACUAGUUUAAUUAGUGCAUGAAUGUAGCUUUUAGGAAGGCGAAAAUUAUUUAAUCAGGAUAUCUUAUAGCAAAAUAUAUAAUUA